GCAGGAGUGAGACGGACUAUCUGGGUAAGUGGUCUGUGAUAACAGCCUCAUGCUCAACGUCAUCAAAACCAAGUAGCUCAUUGUUAACGUCAGAAAGGGGACACUAGGAGACCAUCCAGCCAGCUCUCAAUGGAAAUCACGAUUGAAAUGAAGUUGCGCCUCUUCGUUUGGAUAUGCGCGGAUAUCAUGUUUCGUGUGCUUCGGGGUGAAGAGAGCCUGCUUACAUUUGAAACAGGAUGUGCUUACUGUUGACACCGAAGAUAAUCCAAUGAUAAAAACCCACAGAAAAGGUGCAUGACCAAAGGUGGCAAAUAUAACUGCCUCCUGGUAGUUUUGAGCAAAUGGAUACAGUCGCAUCAAAUCUGCUUGCGCAGUUUAUUUUAAGUACCGUAAAAUAAACGUUCUCUUGUCCCUUUUCAGUUUUGGUCUCAAUGGCGAUGAUUAAGAUGCUGUUAUUUUAUAUUAUUCAAAAGAAAGCGUUUGAUCUUUUUUCGUUUCCUCCUUCAAGUGAAUGGUCCAUAAGCAGCAAUAAUUUACGAACAAUUACGGUUAUUCCAGGAACCCAGUCCGGAGUUCCACCCGCCGCUCUCCACGCCAAUCGUUGUGACGUCACAAAGCCCCGAACACCGGGAUCGCACGUCACAAAGGGAGAAAGUAUCCGAAACGGGCGCAGCUGAUACGCCCGAGAGCCGGUUGCUUCGUCAAUAUGUUAAGGAAAUUAUUGUGAUAUGUUAACCAUCUUUACUGAUAGAUCAAAAGAUAUUUUAACUGGGAACGUGGGUGUGGCUGUUUUUGUGUCUGACUUGCAGGUUUACCUUUCGCAAGUGCAAGUCCAAGACAGCUGGUCAGGUAACCAAAAAACACUCAAGUGUUACAUGCUCAAGGAGAUCUGUGUUUUUUUUUGUGAGAAUGAUGUAACGGUCUUUUGGAGGUCACCUGAUGUGAUUUUCCCGCCGAUGUGAGGCCACGUGAUGACAUGUGCUCCACGGGUAUAUAAGGGUCGACCCAGGUGACGCAGUUAGUUUUUUUUAAUUUGUAGAUUUCCAGGUAGAACGUGCUGUGUCUCUGUUUGCGUGUUUGUUUUUGUGACGCAAUUUCAUUUUUAAAACGGUUGUGCGUUGCAAGAUACCAUAUUAUUGGACUGGAAAUUUACUCAAUUCCAACAGUAGAAGGGAGAGUGAAGUCUUUAUCGAAGUUACCGGAUCAAAGGAUCAAGAGGAGUUGGCAUCGUUUGGCAGUUUAACAAAGGAUUGACCUUAUUGAGUCUUCGUUGGAGGAGUAGCGACCUGCAUCAAGAUAACUCUUGCCAAAAAGAGCAAAGAGUUCAUGCAACGGUUUGCUCUCUCUCUAAAAGAAUUUAAGUGAGACAUGCAAGUGCAGUCCAGCAUAUAGCGGGAGGAGAAGAUGGCAGCGUGCUGCACGUGCGCAGCUCUCCGGUGAAAAAUGAUGUCAUGUCUGUUAAAUAGGGGCCAUGGACAAUUCUGAUUUGAUGGAGAAAGCACAGAGGAACAUUUGGAGAAAUUCCUGAAACGCCCGUCCGCUGCUGUCGUUACUGUGUGGUUGGGAAUCUUUCGGAGGGUAGGCCUCAAAAUCCCCAGCCUUGCCUGCUUUUGGCGACCGAGAAGGAGGUCGAAUUGUUCGGCAGAGAUGCCGCUCAGUACUCAGUGUCGGAGAGCUGAUCGGAGCUCGAAGUUUUCGGAUGACUCAGAAUCGGACCGUGGUCGGCAUGGCAGGGAGAGUUUUUCUUCCUCCUCCCGUCUGCGUGAGAUGUUGGACAUUUGAGAAACUUUGAACUUUACUGUGCUCACGGACUUUAUUCAUCAAGUUAUGGUAUUGUGCACUGUUGUAACUAUAUGUAUAAUUAUGUGGUUUUGUCAGUUUUUUUAGUCUUGGUUUGUCCUGUGUUUUGUGAUAUCACACCGGAGGAAAUAAUGUAUCAUUUCUUAAUGCAUGAAUUACUAAAUGACAAUAAAAGGGGACUACGUGUCUUCAUAAUCUAAUCUAAUAUGGUAAUGAUAUAGAGUACCUAUAAAAAUAUUCACCCCUCCCAGGAAGUUUUCAUGUUUUAUUGUUUUAUGACAGUGGAUUUAAUUUGGCUUUUUUUGACACGAUCAACAGAAAAAAACUCGUUUGUGUCAAAGUGAAACAAGAUCUCUACAAAGUGAUCUAAAUUAAUUAUAAAUAUAAAACACAAAAUAAUUGAUUGCGUAAGUAUUCAUCCCCUUCAAGUCAGUAUUUAGUAGAUACACCUUUGGCAGCAAUUACAGCCUUGAGUCUGUGUGGAUAGGUCUCUAUCUGCUUUGCACAUCUGGACCCUGUAAUUUUCCCCCAUUCUCCCCCAUUUUCCAAAGGAGGGAGGAGAAGGUGGCAGCGUGCGCAGCCGUUCUAAAUGAUAUCAAUAUGUGUUAACUAGGGGGCCAUGCACAAUCCUGAUUUGAUGGAGACAGCCUUGAUAAGCAUGGAGGAACACCUGGAGAAACUUCUGAAAUGCCCGCUUUGCUGCCGCUGCUACUGUGCGAUCGAGAAUCUCCGGAGGGGAAGGCCCCAAAUCCUCAGCAUUGCCUAUUGCUGGGGCUGGGAUUGAAGCAUUUGGCAGAGAUGGUGCUCAGUGCUCGGUGUCGGAGGCUCAGAGUUUUCGGAUGGACUCAAGAGUCGGCUGUGGUCGGGUGCUUCCAGGAUGCUGCAUCGGCAAGUUUGCGGCACUGGAAGCUCAUGGCAGGAAGAGUUUUUUUUCUUCCUUCUACCAUCUGUGUGAGAUGAUGGGACUUUCGAGAGACUUUGAGACUUUUUUUUACCAUGCCCAUGGUCUUCUUCAUCAAAUUACGGUAUUGCUUUGCACUGUUGUAACUAUAUGUUAUAAUUAUGUUGUUUUUGUCAGU
Mobula hypostoma (lesser devil ray) is the source of this 2879-nucleotide long non-coding RNA. RefSeq lists it as uncharacterized. Lineage: Eukaryota; Metazoa; Chordata; Chondrichthyes; Myliobatiformes; Myliobatidae. The record is from RefSeq and is a predicted model, not a curated record. The transcript is spliced from 4 exons.